Molecule: long non-coding RNA, 1027 nt
Filed under: Cyanistes caeruleus (blue tit)
Lineage: Eukaryota; Metazoa; Chordata; Aves; Passeriformes; Paridae
Description: lncRNA (ENSCCEG00000014411.1)
Source: RNAcentral
CUCACAGGACAGCGAGCUCUGUGUUUACCGUGGACAAUUCUAAGCACCCAAAGAGGGAAUCACUGGUGGUGGAAAGUGCAGUUUCUGUGGAUUUCUCCUCAUUUCGUUCUAGAUGACAUCAUAAAGCGCCACAGGAAGGAGCAGACAGAUGCCAGCGCUGCGGGCGACAGCAGAAGGCAGCAGGUCAAGAACAGGAGUUCAGCCUCGGGGUACGGGCGGCCCCAGUACCGUGCCUGGAAGCAGAGGAAUUUGCAAGGACCUAACCGUUUCAGAAGAGGGUUUGGACAGCAACAAUUCAAUCGGAGACAAUUCAGGAAUACUUUGCCUGGUCGCAAGAGAAGAGCAGCUGCUGCAUUCGAUGGAGUGAGCCCUUUAAAUCGCCAGGCAUCGACUCAGGAGGGCAACAAGAAGAGCAGUGCUUUUGCCAAAAGCAGCAAUGGGCAGCAGGAGGAACAGCCACAGCCAUCUCCAGGCCCCAAGAGAUUCAGAGCAGAUGCUGCCAGCGUCCGAGCCCCAGGGAGAAGGCCUUUCCUGCUGAACAGGGGACCAGUGUUCCAGCAGAAGCGGGUGCAGCAGUGGUUCUACAAAGCCGGCUUCCAGAGAGGGCAGAUGGAUUCUAGAGGAGAAGGGAAACCGCCAAGGAUGAGAAGGUGGCAAGUGAAACCCAGCCCGGGAGCAAUUCUCACGGUUUCUGUGGUUAAUCCCCAGGCGGGCCAGACCAGCGCGCCUGGAUCCAAGCGCCCAUUCCUGCGAAGCCAGAGACCCCCGGCACGGGUGGCCAAGCCCCAGCCCAAGGGGGUGCUGCUGAGAUUCAACUUCCGUGCCAUGGCCAACCAGACCAGCCUGACGCUGGAUGAGAGGUUCUCUGGUCUGAGGAAUAAGAGGCGCUUUACAGCAGCCAGGAGCGCCGGACGGACGGUCACCAUGCCUUAGGACCGCGUGCUCGUCACAGGGACUGCCUGUGACAGUCCAGGCUCCAUGACAAGGGCUCAAUAAAAGUUGCUAGAUUCCCUUUGAGAUAGCUGAU